RNAcentral lists this ribosomal RNA (252 nucleotides) under uncultured bacterium. RNAcentral describes it as "partial 16S ribosomal RNA". It matches the Rfam family "Bacterial small subunit ribosomal RNA", at positions 524 to 775 of the family's 1533-position model. The record is from RNAcentral.
UACGUAGGGUGCAAGCGUUGUCCGGAAUUAUUGGGCGUAAAGAGCUCGUAGGCGGUUUGUCGCGUCUGCUGUGAAAACGCGAGGCUCAACCUCGCGCCUGCAGUGGGUACGGGCAGACUAGAGUGCGGUAGGGGAGAUUGGAAUUCCUGGUGUAGCGGUGGAAUGCGCAGAUAUCAGGAGGAACACCGAUGGCGAAGGCAGAUCUCUGGGCCGUAACUGACGCUGAGGAGCGAAAGCGUGGGAGGCGAACAG